RNAcentral lists this ribosomal RNA (119 nucleotides) under Pteropus alecto (black flying fox). Lineage: Eukaryota; Metazoa; Chordata; Mammalia; Chiroptera; Pteropodidae. RNAcentral also lists the same sequence under 1 other name. The record is from RNAcentral.
GUCUACGACCAUGUUAUCCUGAACGUGCCUGAUCUCGUCUGAUCUUAGAAGUUAAGCAAGGUCGGGUCUGAUUAGUACUUGGAUGGGAGACCACCUAGGAAUACCAGGUGCUGUAGGCG